UACGGAGGGGGCAAGCGUUGUUCGGAUUUACUGGGCGUAAAGAGUUCGUAGGCGGUUGCGUAAGUCUGGUGUGAAAUCUUCACCGCUCAACGGGAAGAGGUCACUGGAAACUGCGCAACUUGAGUAUGGUAGAGGCAAGCGGAAUUCCCGGUGUAGCGGUGGAAUGUGUAGAUAUCGGGAAGAACACCUGUGGCGAAGGCGGCUUGCUGGGCCAUUACUGACGCUGAGGAACGAAAGCGUGGGGAGCAAACGGG
Molecule: ribosomal RNA, 254 nt
Filed under: uncultured bacterium
Lineage: Bacteria
Description: partial 16S ribosomal RNA
Rfam family: Bacterial small subunit ribosomal RNA
Source: RNAcentral